Molecule: long non-coding RNA, 4524 nt
Filed under: Equus caballus (horse)
Lineage: Eukaryota; Metazoa; Chordata; Mammalia; Perissodactyla; Equidae
Description: lncRNA (ENSECAG00000046040.1)
Source: RNAcentral
GAGAGUAGUACUGUGUCUUGUUCCCCAUAAUACAUGUAAGAAGUUCAUAUAUGACAUCAACCACUUCACUACUUUUCAACUUCCUUCUAGAAUAGAUUAUUUGUUAUCACAAAAGUUCUUCCCAGAAUUGAAGAUACCCUGUUUUGGUCGUAUAUAAAACUGUAUAGCUUAAAAAAUUCACAAGUAGCCAACCAGUUAUUUUAUUUUCAUUUUUUUAAUCUAUGCAUAUAGUAAUUUUAUACACAUUAGGACCCAAAUAUAAUUUUGUUUCUGAAUUCUUCUAGUUAAUGAGAUGUGGACUUAGUCACUUAUCUCAGUACUUAGCAAAGAGCAAUUCUUUAUUAAUUGUAAUCAAAGUGCUCCUAAAGUAUUUGCAUAUUCCUCCUUAAAAACACUUGUUAGAAUCGGUAGCUCACUGUCUUUUUAACUUCUGGGUAGUGCCGUGUGCAUCAUCUGAGCAAACUCCCAUGAGUACUUUGUGUAGAAGACUACAAACUCACCCUCAAUACUGUACUUGAUAUUUCCGCUAUAUCUGUGGAGAUGAUACUGACCCUGAUAUCAGUUUCCCUACAUUAAACCCAGCAUAUAUGGGGUUAAAACCAAAGCACUCAUUCCCUGCUUACUCCCUGGCUUCCUGGCUCCAGAAUCCACUAUCCUCCACGGAAACAGACACAGCCAAGGACAAGCAUCUGGAUUCAUUAUCUCUUCCCUGCAAAGAGAUAUAGGCUGGUGGGAAAGCUGCUGACCAGCAAGGUCAGGGGCUCCUUCCUCUAUGCAAGUGUCUCAAGGCCAAAGACAGGCUGGUGGGAAAGCUCUGACCAGCAAGGCCAUAUGCUUUCCCUCCCCUACCUAAAAUCCCAAAUAAAAACCCUUCCUUUUAGCUUUUGGGGAUUUGGGGAUUUCAGCAUUAGCUGCCCUCUCUCCUUACUCAGUGCUGUGCAAUGAUAAACUUCCUACUUUCUUCCACUAUACCCGUGUCAGAAAUUGGCUUUCUGUGCAAUGAGUGAGCAAACUCACUUCAGGUUCACUAUCAAUUUGGUGACCCAGAUGUGACCCUGUCUCAAGAGGACAUCUCACCUGUGGCAAACCUGGCCUCUGGCUAAAGGAAGAUGUCCUGCAGCUGCCUGAGCCACUUGUCUCAGGGACAGUCCCAAGCGACGUGCUGCUAACAAGACAUCAUUGGACCUUGGUGCUUUUGUUUUGGUGGUGGAGGAAACCAGGUUCAGGGUUUAGGAAAACAUCUCUUGUAAGUAGCUGGUAGUUUUUGUUUUUGCCCUUGUCUUAACCUUUUCCAACAGGACUGGCCAGAAAUAAUGGGUAACUGGCAGCCAACCAGGCUCCAGGUGUUUUGAAGUUGCCACGCCCCAGCAAAAUUUUGGUAAGUCCACUGGGAAUGCACAAGCAAGGUCCCUUGUCCUUGCUCAUUUGGGAAGAUCUGCAUAGCAGAACUUCAUUUGUUGGGUGCCCCCCAAGUAUAGGACAUGGACUAAGCUUGGACUGGAAGUACUUUGGUUUUGGUUUUGGUUUUGGCCUUCAUUCUGGCUUCCAGUUGUGGCCGAGGGUUUUUGGGAAAGUGCACUUCUUUGGUAUUUGUUGUUGUUUGUCUAUUCAUCUUUCCUUUUAAAAGUGUUAACAUGGAAGGUGCCGCAUCUACUCCACCUAAGAACCCCUUGGGAGAAACUUUGGCUGACUGGUCGACCUAUAGCUAUAAGGCAAUGUCUAAAGAGGGAUCAUUUUCUUUUGUAACACCACAUGGCCACAAUAUUCUUUAGACUCCAGAAAAAAAAAAGGUCAAGCAAUGGAUCCUUAAGUUGGGAAAAAUAUUACAGAGUUCUCAAGAUAAACAGCUCUUGUAUUGGUACCUAUGAAAAUACCAAAUUAAAAUGAAACUAUAACUAGUCUUAAGAACUUAAUCAAACUGGGGGCACCAGUUUCUCAUAGUCUUACAGAUGCUAAUGAAAAUAUUAAGUUUACAAAGAGAAAUCAGAAAGGGAAGAGUCACAGGACUCAUCCCAAUGGGAUAAAAGUCUUUAACUAGUUAUUAAAAGAAAAAAUGGGAUAAAUAGAACAGAUAUAAAUAAGGUUAAAAUGAAGCUUUUCAUAAAAUACUGCCUAAGGUUGGAUGGGAUAAAGGGACCCCGCUAUUGGCUAUCCAACAUUAAAGGACAUCAGACAAAUAUGUUCUAUUUAGCCCAGUCUGAAAAAUUUAAAAGGUCAGGAGGCAGAAAUCAGAGUAAGAAACCUGACCAACAAUUGUUUGGGGCAACCGUUAGGCUACUGAGAUUAAUAAGACUAUAAAGAUCAAAGUGUUUAAGCUAACAUUAUAUGAAGAGGUUAUGUCAGCUUUGCCUGGAUAUUUGCUUUGGGAAUAAAAGUUAUGUGUAACUGGGAAGGCUUCCCCUACCCAAUAUUGUAAUACCAAAACUUGUUAAUGGAAUUCUAAUGUAAGUUUUAAUUAAAAGUAUACGAGUUAGUAAAACUAAGAUAAAGUUUUGUAAAAAUUGAUGUACUUAAAGGGGCCAAUUUCAGUUCACCCAAACUGAUAUAUGCAAUUGGGAAAGCCAGAUACAAAAACGGGAAGCCUGUUUGAGGCUUCUAAAUAAAAUCAGAAAUACUUACUGCCUCUUUAAGAGAAAAUAAUUAAAUAAUUAAACAUACAAACAGCCAAACCCAAAUCUGCUGCUUUUGUCUACACUCUUGCUGAGCUUUCCAGCAAGCUGAGCUUCACUUUAACUCCCCCACAAUUCCUGAUCUAAAAUUGAACAAAUAAAAAUAAGUAAACUUUUGAGAUAAUUUGGAAUUGUAAUGGCCAUUCUGGAAACCUUUUUCAGAAGAGGAUUCAAAAUCUCUCAUAAUGGAAUGCAGUCUUUAAUGAAUAUGCAAAAGCUUCUAAGAGACAAAGUUAUUUAACAUAAUAUAAAAUGAUCUUUGAUGAAUGAAAGCCUGUUUAAGUUUGCUGGUUUGAUUUAAAAUAGAGCAGCCCUCAAAGUUAUUAGCAUUGGCUAUGAUGCAGACUUCCAGCCUAGGCUUAUUGGUCAAAUGAGCUCAUGUCAUCUCUGCUACAAAAUUUAUCAGCAAAACUAAUAAUGCAGUAUAAUAGCUAAUUUUGUUUAAUGUCUCAUGAGGUUUUUCUAGAUGAUCUAAAUAUAAUUGUUAAUAACAGGUAAACUAAAUAAAUGUAAAAAGAUAAAAGUUGUGGGAAAAACUUUUAAACAAUAAUUGUAUGUAUUAUGAUGUAUGUACUCGAAAGAACUGAAGAUGAUAGCUAACUGCUGUAAUGUCACGUGAAAUUUUUAAGAGUAAUUGUUAAAACUGGGUAAGAAUUUUAGGUACAAUUGUUAUGUUUUAUAGUCUGCAUACUUAAAAACAGCUUCAAAAAUCUUUUUGGGAAAAAACUUUAUAACUUUACUAAGUUAAGUUAAAUAAUAACAGUUUAUUGGGUAUCUAGGUCAUUUCCAAAUAAGAUACAAUACUAAAGGUUAAGUACUAAGUAUGUAUUUGUCUGCCUUUGGUGUAUUAUAUCAAAGAAACUGAAAAGUGCUUAGGUUUAUUGAUAAACAUGUUUUAUGUAUGCUGAGGAAUUUUCUGUAAGAAGACGUAUAUUCCUAAAAGGUCUGUAUACAAGGAAAGUAAAAUGUAUGCUUUCAGUAAAAAUAUAUAAAGAAUGGAAAUAUUUUUGUUUCUUGAGUUGAGAAAGGUAAAUUUGCACUAAACUACUGGGACAAAUUCUGAAUGCAAAAAAAGUAACCAAAGGUUUGUAAAAGUAAAGCCCUAAAGAGUUUCAUGUAUGGUCAAGUUGGCUAAGAUUAAAGUAAAUCCAAUUAUGCAAAUAAAUUUAUAUGUCAAAAGUAAGCUGGUACAAGAUUAAAAGUUUGUUUCCUCUUUCCUAAAAAGGUCCUUUCCUAAACUUUUAAUAUGCUUUUGAUAAAAAGAUUAUCAAAAGGCUUUUUUUUGACUAUUUUAGCUGUUUCACCUUGACUGUUUCUGUAGUCACUUCAAGUAGAUACCUGAAACAUGGCUUUGCAGUGAGCUUUGUCUCCUAUCUGAACAAAUGUUUUAAAGCUUUUAAUGUUUUUGACAAGCUCCCACACACAGACAAAUAUUCAAGUCCUGACUAAGGCUGUCUUUUGACCUAGAAGAGGAGAGAGAGUUUCUCUGGGGAUUUUCAGAGGGCCCCUGGUAAUUCUCAGAGAGAUUUGCUCUCUUUCUAUAACAAACAUGCUAAACUAAUUAGGCUCAUUUUGUAUGUUAAAUUACAUGAGAAGCAUUGUCAAAUAGGUAACAGUAAACUUUCUUAAAUGGCAUUAUGUGAAUGAGUGUUAUUGACAUAAAUAUUUUAAAAAUUACCUGAUCUGUUUUUAUUGUCAGCCAUAAUUCUUGUUAUUAUUCCAAAAUGUUGUAUAUCACAGAGGUGGUCAAAUGCCUUUGUCAAUUACCAUUUUUGAAGGUUUUGUUAUUUACAGUCAGUUGCUGUUUUACUUUGAUGUUUUUACAAAUAUGUUUCAUCUUCAGUGAAAUUCAUAG